This 788-nucleotide ribosomal RNA is filed under the name Streptomyces thermocarboxydus. RNAcentral describes it as "bacterial SSU rRNA". It matches the Rfam family "Bacterial small subunit ribosomal RNA", at positions 85 to 884 of the family's 1533-position model. Lineage: Bacteria; Bacillati; Actinomycetota; Actinomycetes; Kitasatosporales; Streptomycetaceae. The record is from RNAcentral.
GGGUGGAUUAGUGGCGAACGGGUGAGUAACACGUGGGCAAUCUGCCCUGCACUCUGGGACAAGCCCUGGAAACGGGGUCUAAUACCGGAUACUGAUCGCCUUGGGCAUCCUUGGUGAUCGAAAGCUCCGGCGGUGCAGGAUGAGCCCGCGGCCUAUCAGCUUGUUGGUGAGGUAAUGGCUCACCAAGGCGACGACGGGUAGCCGGCCUGAGAGGGCGACCGGCCACACUGGGACUGAGACACGGCCCAGACUCCUACGGGAGGCAGCAGUGGGGAAUAUUGCACAAUGGGCGAAAGCCUGAUGCAGCGACGCCGCGUGAGGGAUGACGGCCUUCGGGUUGUAAACCUCUUUCAGCAGGGAAGAAGCGAAAGUGACGGUACCUGCAGAAGAAGCGCCGGCUAACUACGUGCCAGCAGCCGCGGUAAUACGUAGGGCGCGAGCGUUGUCCGGAAUUAUUGGGCGUAAAGAGCUCGUAGGCGGCUUGUCACGUCGGUUGUGAAAGCCCGGGGCUUAACCCCGGGUCUGCAGUCGAUACGGGCAGGCUAGAGUUCGGUAGGGGAGAUCGGAAUUCCUGGUGUAGCGGUGAAAUGCGCAGAUAUCAGGAGGAACACCGGUGGCGAAGGCGGAUCUCUGGGCCGAUACUGACGCUGAGGAGCGAAAGCGUGGGGAGCGAACAGGAUUAGAUACCCUGGUAGUCCACGCCGUAAACGGUGGGCACUAGGUGUGGGCGACAUUCCACGUCGUCCGUGCCGCAGCUAACGCAUUAAGUGCCCCGCCUGGGGAGUACG